GUUAAUUUGGCAGAUUAGUGCAUUAAAUUUAGAAUUUAAUUAAGUAAUUUAAUUACAUUUAACA
This 64-nucleotide transfer RNA is filed under the name Concaveplana rufolineata. Its description in RNAcentral is "tRNA-Leu". The record is from RNAcentral. Lineage: Eukaryota; Metazoa; Arthropoda; Insecta; Hemiptera; Cicadellidae. RNAcentral also lists the same sequence under 1 other name.